RNAcentral lists this unclassified non-coding RNA (253 nucleotides) under Hevea brasiliensis (rubber tree). The record is from RNAcentral. Lineage: Eukaryota; Viridiplantae; Streptophyta; Magnoliopsida; Malpighiales; Euphorbiaceae.
GAAAGCUUCAUAUUAACCAGAAGUUACAGCAGAGUCUGCAGAAUACAUCAUGAAAAGAGAAACAGAACAAAGAGUACAUAUAGUUAUAGAACAUGCACCUCACAUAUAACUACGGCCUGCUAUCAUAAUCAACAACUUCAGAAUCGGUAACAGACCGCGAGUGCUGAACAAUGGAUCGGCCAAUUGAAUUAAUCCAUUCCUCUUUCUCCUUCUCAGUAUCGGCGAUGAAAAACAUAGUAUCACGCCUUGUGGA